Caenorhabditis elegans is the source of this 121-nucleotide non-coding RNA. Lineage: Eukaryota; Metazoa; Nematoda; Chromadorea; Rhabditida; Rhabditidae. The record is from Ensembl.
GGUGUACAUGCCUGUAUUUAGGCAAUUGAACGAUUGCGAAAUGAGAGCGGCGUCGGAGAGAAAGAAAGAGCUUCGAGAUGUGCGUGUUAGCGGUGUGUGUUUCUUUUUCUGUGUUGUGAGA